Molecule: ribosomal RNA, 462 nt
Filed under: uncultured bacterium
Lineage: Bacteria
Description: bacterial SSU rRNA
Rfam family: Bacterial small subunit ribosomal RNA
Source: RNAcentral
CGCUGGCGGCGCGCCUAACACAUGCAAGUCGAACGAGAAAGGAAGAGCUUGCUCUUCUAAUCGAGUGGCGAACGGGUGAGUAACGCGUNAGGAACCUGCCCUCAAAGAGGGGGGACAACAGUUGGAAACGACUGCUAAUACCGCAUAAGCCCACGGGUCGGCAUCGACCAGAGGGAAAAGGAGCAAUCCGCUUUGAGAUGGCCUCGCGUCCGAUUAGCUAGUUGGUGAGGUAAUGGCCCACCAAGGCAACGAUCGGUAGCCGGACUGAGAGGUUGAACGGCCACAUUGGGACUGAGACACGGCCCAGACUCCUACGGGAGGCAGCAGUGGGGAAUAUUGCACAAUGGGGGAAACCCUGAUGCAGCGACGCCGCGUGGAGGAAGAAGGUCUUCGGAUUGUAAACUCCUGUUGUUGGGGAAGAUAAUGACGGUACCCAACAAGGAAGUGACGGCUAACUACGUG